Tachysurus fulvidraco (yellow catfish) is the source of this 3238-nucleotide long non-coding RNA. RefSeq lists it as uncharacterized. The transcript has 3 exons. Lineage: Eukaryota; Metazoa; Chordata; Actinopteri; Siluriformes; Bagridae. The record is from RefSeq and is a predicted model, not a curated record.
GCAGGAGGGCAGGAGAGCAGGAGAGCAGGAGGGGAGGAGAGCAGGAGGGCAGGAGAGCAGGAGAGCAGGAAGGCAGGAAGGCAGGAGAGCAGGAGGGCAGGAGUCGGAAGUCAGUCACUCUGGUGUCAACAACAACCACCCCCAGAGACCACACACACACACACACACACACACACACACACACACACACACACACACACACACAUCCUCUCCUGCACCACAUGGCAACCAGCUCCCAUAGCAACCACUGCUAUCAGGGGUUUUGUGGCUGUGUCUCAGUUGAAGGAGCCGUCGACAGGCGAGCAGCGUCACUGCUUCAUGGCUCUGAGUGCAGACGUUUAAAACUUGAUGCAUUCAUCAUUAACUCACAAUCACAAUCACACAGUGUUCACUUAACACCACAGAUACACACUGAGCUUGUGACAGGUGUUAAGCUCGUCAGAGACCAUCGUGUUCAGACAGUUCCUGUAUUCUGUUGUCUGAUGCCUGUAACUACACUCCAGCAGCACACAUGAGAGGAAGAGAAAACGAGUGCAAGCCUACAGAUGGCCCACAGAACUCUGGGACCUGCCACAUGGCUCCUUCUUCACGUGUCGUGGCGUCCGGUGCGAGCGGCAGGAGAACAGCUUUGUCAUGCUAAUGGAGGAGGAGGACAGCUGCUUUGGGCCAAGUGGUGACAUGUUAAAGAGAGACACACCAAACAACUGGGGAACCCAUUACUGAGCUCUGGUAGGAUUUCUGCCAAGGAUACACAAAGACUUUGCUUAUUCCAUGUACGGAGCAGAUGAGCAGUAGAUCGAGCUCUGUGUCCUGACCUCGUCUGCAGAUGUUCUACACCGUGUUGCAUUUCGGUUGGUGUAAAACGGACCGGGAUUAACUGCUGGUGUGUUGUGUUAUGGAAAGCCACCUGUGAUACAUCACAAACUCAACACUUAUCCUUUCUGCUUGGGUUACAGCAUCAUAAAGCAGUAAAUAUAAACCCGCCUUAUAAGCCUGUGAUACGGGCGCCGUUUCCCAUCUGACGUGAGAGGCAACUAAGGUUCAACAAAAUCAAUAGAGCUUUUAAGUUACUUCCAAAGAGGCUGCAAGUCACCAGGAAGUGUGUACCGGAAUUGUGCAGUCUGACAGCAACUAUAUUUCAGCAAGCCAUUAGCAGCUCACAUGGCCAAAAAUCUGUUACUGUUCACAUCACCUGAAAAUAAACACCAAAAUCUAACGUAAUAAUCCAUCUGAACGCUUUAACACACCUGAACAUCUGGGGUUAUUUACGGCCAACUGACCGGGACGUGACGAUAGCUUCUAUCUGUACGGUCUAAUGGAUCCUGUUCAUGGUGAAGAUAUUGGAGACAUAUUGAUCCGUACUAAAAGAGAAAGCAGGAGAGCUGUGAUGAACGUCAGGCGUUUGGAGGCCAGCUGUCUGUGUGCUGGCCUUCUGGCUCGACGUUCAGCGCGAGCGCGUCGGCGGAGCCACGUUAAGACAAAGACGCCGCUCUUAAAGCACGAUCGGAAUCGCUGACUAGGGCAAUGAGGCUUCCUGAGGUCACCAAACUUUCCUUGCAAACAAAAGCAUGAAAAGGAACAGGAGUGGAAUAUGGUGAGCAGGAGCAGGAGCAGGAGCAGGAGCAGGAGCAGGGGCAGGGGCAGGGGCAGGAGCAGGGGCAGGGGCCGGACCCCUCUGGGAGCACUUUCAGGAACAUUUCGAAGGCCAAGCAAAACAAUGGCACUGAUCCAGAAAGUGUGUCGAGACAAAAGCGGAGACUGAAUGAGGGGAAGGUUGUUGGGUGGGUGUGAAGGGAUUAAAGCAUUAAUCACAGAUGGUGACUGCAUCUCAUCUUUUCACCAAACCCCCACUAAACCCCCACCAACCCCGCACCCACCCUCCAGCAAAAUAACCGACAAUGCUUUGCUCCACUCGCUUUUGUCAGUACGCGUGUCUGUCAAGCAGGAGUGUGUGGUGGCCACAAUGGGAAGGAGCACAAAGGCAUGUCUAGCCCCUCCACCCCUCGUCCCUCACCCCUCCACUGCACUCAUCCAUGUCCCAGUCACUGUGAAUAGAAAGGCACGUGCUGCUUCUGACUGGUGGAAUAAUAGGAAAGAAAGGAACCAUGUGGUAUCAGACCGAUAUGAAGCCACGACCCUUCUGAUUCCAGAUUUGCAUCAGCCGUGAUACCGUGUUGGUCCGCAUGGUCGUAAAGACAAACUCCACCCAGAAGCACAUGUAGAUAUGUUUCAGUUGUGUCACGUCUUCAGUGAUUCUGGUGCUUGAAUUUAGCAGCCGUCUGCCGUGAUGACAUCACACGAUGACUGGGAUCCUGAGUGGAAUUUCACUCGUCAGACUCAUUAGAUUUUGACUGUCUGGGCCACAAGUAUGCAGCGAAUAGGACUGGGCCUGGUCACGGUGUGCGGUAUAAACAGACUGCACGACGGACCCAGUAGGAACAACAGGACCCAGCAGAACCCAGCAGGACCCAGUAGGAACAAGCAGGACCCAGUAGGAACAAGCAGGACCCAGUAGGAACAAGCAGGACCUAGCAGGACCGAGCAGGACCAAGCAGGACCCAGUAGGAACAAGCAGAACGCAGAAGCCCCAGCAGGACCACACAGGACCCAGCAGGACCAAGCAGGACCAAGCAGGACCCAGCAGGACCAAGCAGGACCCAGCAGGACCACACAGGACCCAGCAGGACCCAGCAGGACCCAGCAGGACCCAGCAGAGCUGCAGCUAGAUGGAAGCUGUUUAUUCUUUUUUAAAUUGACCAAUAAUAGAGACGUCGUUUACAAAAGAUUCCUGAAGCCUCGUCCUGAACCGCUGAAUGUCUGAUGCAAAAACUCCAAUAAAAUAUCUGUUAUAUACAUUUCCACAUUUUAUCGUCAUGACGACUCACAUUGUGUUUCUUCACAUGAUCACCAGUCAGACCAACAGUCACGCUGCCAAACGUGACAAACUGCUGUACAAUAACAGUCUAAUAAAGACUAAUAAAGUUACACACCAACUGGAAUACAAACAAAUCUAAUUCAUGCAGAAGAAGCGAAUGUGCUAGCUAUGUGUUACGCUAGCUAUGUGUUAUGCUAGCUUUGUGUUAUGCUAGCUUUGUGUUACGCUUUGUGUUACGCUAUCUAUGUGUUAUGCUAGCUUUGUGUUACGCUAGCUUUGUGUUAUGCUUUGUGUUACGCUAGCUAUGUGUUACGCUUUGUGUUACGCUAUCUAUGUGUUACGCUAGCUAUGUGUUACGCUAGC